Alosa sapidissima (American shad) is the source of this 459-nucleotide long non-coding RNA. RefSeq lists it as uncharacterized. The transcript is spliced from 3 exons. Lineage: Eukaryota; Metazoa; Chordata; Actinopteri; Clupeiformes; Clupeidae. The record is from RefSeq and is a predicted model, not a curated record.
AGAUAUGGGCAUCUGGAGUUCAGCCAGAUGUGAAGAGCACACAGAGACCCAACAGCUGACCAGGACAAAUCAGCAAGUCCACACCAAGGCUGUCAAUCACUCCCCAACAAGCGUGACCUUUCUGACAAGGCUCGGGAUAAUGAGAAAGCACGGCUCCAGGAAACUGUCCAGGCUGCCACUCAACUGAUUUUACACCUUGGCCUCGCUGCCUCGCUGCCUCGCUGCCUCGUUGCUCGCCACUUCCGACUCCAGCCGUCCUCCAAAUCUCCAGUAUUUGUCCUUCACGCCGGAUGCCAACGCUUCAAGCACAACGUCUACAAUUAAAGCCCCGACUGCAUAUGACCACUUGGGUUUCUCUUAUUCCAUGACACAGAAUUUCUCUUUCAGCAAGCAUCCGAAUGACACCACAACUCCGACGUCAAAUCGUCCAUGGACAUCCACAUUGGGCCAGUCGUGAAC